Molecule: long non-coding RNA, 6473 nt
Organism: Lotus japonicus
Lineage: Eukaryota; Viridiplantae; Streptophyta; Magnoliopsida; Fabales; Fabaceae
Exons: 9
Source: RefSeq, a predicted model, not a curated record
UUGACUCUCUCUCCAUUUUCACUCUUAAAUCCUGGCCCUUCAUCUGUGAGACUUUUUUCCCCUCUAUUCUACUCAAGCUCCUGUAUGACGUCACAGAACGCGUUGAUGGAGUAUGGGAUGAAGGAGAUGAGUGUCUCCAUGGUUUGAUUUGGUGGGUAAUCGUCAUCCCUGCAGGCCCUGUCUCUGUAGCCUAUCACACAUCAUCGUGUUAGGUUUUCCUCUCUUCCCCCUUUCAGCGACGUCUGCACAACACAUGAGGAAGGAGGAACAGAAGAACUGGGUUGAGUUAUGUUAGACUUUGAUGGAGAUUAGACAAUGGAGGAAGGAGAAAGCAAGGAGAAGGACAAGAGAUGAUGAUGGAAAGUACAAAAUUUUCAGAAUCCGAUUCAGAGGGAGAAGAGAAGAUGGUGGUUGUCAAUGGUUAGGUGAGGCAGCUCAGAUGACAGGAUAUAUCAUCCCGAUUUUUGAAGGAAGAGUGAAGAAGAGGGAAAGAAGGACUGCUGUCAGAUGAGGAUCAGUAGCAACAGAGAAGAUGAUGCACUAUUUUGUCAUCGUUGUAUCACAUCAGGUAUGAGAAAGGAGGUUCAGCUCAGAGAAGCAGCAAAGCAGAAUGUGGAUACUGAGGUACUGGAGAACUGGAAAGGCUGAAGCAACAGAGAAGAAUUUGAAGAGUAAAUCUUCCAAUUCAUCCACUGAGCAAGACUUCGAUUCAUUUCUUCUUGGAGAUCUUGAAGACAAUGAUGGAGGUCCAGGUUUCUUUGCACCUCUUAUCUGUGUUGUUGGACUUGAUUUUGCUACUCACUUGGGAAGAUGAUGGAUUGAGAUGGAGUGUUGUCAGGUGUGGAUCAGAAGAAACAGAGAAGAUGAUGGACUCUUUCGUCAUUGAUUUCUGCCUUGUCCUCGUCAGAUCACAUCAGAUUGCUAUGUUUAUUUGAGCUUAGAGGCCGCAGAUAAGAUAAGAGGUUGCAACAGGUGCUACUGUUGCUGUCGAAUAAUCAAGAUGGGAGGUACUUGAGUAAUAUAGGCAGGAAGAAGGUGGAUCCAUAUGAGAUUAGUGACUUGUGGAGUUGGGCCUAUAGUGGAUAAUCUAUACGCACAAGGGGUUUGUUGGGAAACUUUUAAUUUUUAUGAUUUCUUUGUAACUUAUAUCUAUUCUCUCAUUUUGCGAUUCUCUAUCUUUGUAUUAGGUUGAAGUUCCCCUUAUGCUUCAUUUUAACAAAUCUUUGGCUUAUAAAAAAACUACAUUCUAAUGAUCUAUUUUCUAAUCAUGACUUUUAAUCCAUGACCCAACUACAUUUUAGUGUUCUGUUUUCGAAGUAUUCUUUUUAGUCCAUUUUGUUUGUGAUCCAUAUGACUUUGAAAUAUAGGAGUGUGGUUACAUUGCAAUGGCUAUUUCCAAAGAGUAUAUGGAGUCAAUGGAUACAGUACUGAGUUGUUCCUAACAAAUGUGCUUUAAUCUCAUCUUAGUGUGUUUGGUAGUGUGUGGUCGUUGGUUUCUAACACUUAAAUGGGUUACCAAUUGUUGAUAAGGAUUUAGUGUUGAAUAUUGGGUUGAGAACCCCAUGGUUUCAAUAUUGUGCUAUGUAGUCAUCAUUAAGCAUAGCUGUUGCGGUGUAGGCUUGCACCUUUGUCAAAGGAAUUAAGAUCACUACAAUUUGAAACUGUGUCUUGUCUAUAUAGCUUAUCGAUUUCAAAUAUAGUUAAUUUUGAUUGAAUUUCUGGUUUUGGAAUUGGUGUCCAUUUCAGCCCAUUUGUUACUUUACCAUAUUUGAUGAUGCAUGACACAAAAUAUUAAUAAUCUAAGGUUUAAUACAAUCUCAAUCCCAUGUGAAUGUCUUUUGACUAGAAUGAUUAUGGUUCAAUUCAUCUGUUUUCCUAUCUGCAGUAACAUUUCCCUUGGAUCUUGUGAGGCGGCGGAAGCAGCUUGAAGGGGCUGGUGGGCGAGCCCGAGUGUGUAAUGCAGGCAUGACAAAUUUCUUGGAGAUAAACCAAAGGGUGGAGAGAUUGGCUGAAUCAAGUGACUACAGUGAGUACUGAAUGCAGUGAAUCCAGAUCCCAGAUGGAUGAGAUAAACUUUCUUUUAUCAAGACAUAUGUUUGUAAGCACCAUUGUCCAAGCUCUUUAUUUUUCAUAUGUUAAAAUCUGAAUCAUGUAUUAGACUAUUCCUUUUCUCAUCAACCGUGUGUGUAUUUUUACUGUGGAUGAGCCCUAUGUUUCAUCAGGUGCUGAUUCUUUAUCACACAUGAGGUUUUAGAUGAUGAAAUCUGCACAAUAAGAGAUGUUUAAACGGGUGAAUCAGUCAAAAUCUUGAUUAACCCUUUCUGCUCAUCUACAUUGUUUAAAUUUUCAUUGUUAAUGGCUUUUUAUUAUCUUUCUAAAAUAGCAUUCAACCAUUCACCAUUGCAGAAGAUGCACAUGCCUUGCUCCUUUAUGCCAUUAAGUAUCUAUUUUUACUUAUAUUAAGUGUUUAUUUAUGGUUUCGCAUUUAAAUGGGGUUGCCCAAAGUAUGUUUUAUGGUUUUCAUUAUUUGCUUAAGGUUGAGAAUGUAAAUGGGAAACAAAGUAAGAUACUAGAUUUCAAGAGGGUUGUUGGGAAGAGUCACCAAGUGGGUUCAGACAGUUUGCUUAUUCUGCAUGCUUUUGAAAAUAUCAUGAAAGUUUACUUUGGUAACAAAGUUGGACUGGUCAACAGGUCAAGUAUACUGGUGUCUUGCAUGGCUUAGAGGUUCAAAAAUAUCUCAUGGGAUUCUCUGUAGAUUUCUUUAUUGCCUUUCCUUUUUACUCUCAAUAUAAAUGAGAAUCGUACAUAUAUGGUCAUCAAUGAAAUUCAUUUAUCAAUUCUUUGAAAUAUCUUCCCUUGCACCUUUUAUCCUCCUUACUUCAUUUUAAAUAAUUGCGUAAAUUACAAACUAUUACCAUUGGUAUGUGAAUUAAUUUGUUCAUUUUAUAAAAUUAUAAAAUAAAAAAUUAUAAAAUAUAGAAUCGCUCGUCCGUGCAUUGCACGGAAACGGGCUAUUAUCCUAGUGUAAUUUAACUAAAAGUAAUUGAAAGUUUACUACGUACCCUUGGUAAUGCUCUCCUAUCAAGUUGGAAAUUUCACUCAAAGCCUGUGUCCAUUCAAGUACUGUCUUAGAAUAUUUUCCUAACACUUUUUCAUGUUCGGCCAUGGCUACACCAUAACUCUCUUUUAGAUUCCUUAUAUCAGUUGGUUCCACUUCAUAAAAAAUUGGCAAAACCAAUUGUUCCAUGCUCUUCCGGCAGUCAAGAAUUUUGACUAGUUCUUUAAGACACCAUUUAGAGUCCGCAAAGUUUUUAGAUAAAACAACAAUUGCAAACCUUGAUUCUUCAAUGGCUUCAAGAAUUUCCUCAAUUGGUUUUCCACCCUUCAAUUUUUCAUCAUCUUUGAAGGUCUCAAAUCCCUUCUUACACAAAGCAUCAUAGAGAUGAUUUGUGAAAAUCUUCCGAGUGUCCUUUCCUCUAAAACUGAUAAAAAUUUGGUAGCGAGCUGUUGUGUGGCUUAGACUGACUAAUGAUUCUUCCCAUUUCUCAAUCGACUUCUUUUUCAAGGAAAAUGCCACAUCUGUAAUUAAACCGGGUAAGCCAUUGCAUUUAAAAGAAACAUCCCUUACCACAUUAAAUUGAUCAACCUGGGAGUCAACACCUGAAAGUUAUUUUAGCAGGGCAAAAGCUUCUUUACUAGAUAUGGGCUUUAGAGGAAUCAAAUGAUCACAUCCCAUUGAAGUGCAGUCUGUCCCGUCACGUGCAGUCAAAAGAAACUUGUAUUGUUUGCUAUUAAAAGGAAUACCCAGUUCUUGCAGUUUAAACUCCGUUGGAAAAUUAUCUAAGAUGACAAGAGUAGUUUUAUCCGUCCUUCCUAAUUCCGAAUUUAUUUUGGUUAUUCUUGUGCCAUCAGUGUCAUGUUUUUCAAACACGUUCAACAUCUUAGCAAGUUCCUCUUGAAUUCUCUUAGUGUCUUGAUUCUCGGUGGGAAAUAUAACUCUUUGAAAAAUCCUGUCAUACUCAUUCAUAUGAGCUUUCACCAAUGUUGUUUUACCGGAGCCCUUCUUUCCAUGCAAUCCAAUUACAUUGCAAUUAUCAUCUUUAAGUGCCUCUAUAAGUUUCUGCAAAGCCUCUGUUGUAGAGUUGAAAUAAUACCCACUGUUUCUCGAAGUGAAGGACUGUAAAGGUGGGGUUGGUACUGUAGUCUGACCGCAAAUAUCAUGUUGCACUUGUGCCUCCAAGGGUGAAUCAUCUUAUUGUUUAUUUAUUUUUUUGAAAGUAUCUUAUCUAUUUAUAAUAUAGUAAUUGAGAAGCGCGCAAUCUAACGCCGCCACCUCAGCGAUUAUACUUCUAACAAGAGUGCCCACAUCAGCAAUUUUGAUGACGUGUCACGUUGUAGCUUCUAAAGUAUCGAAAAUACAGCUAGAGACCUAUCCCAGCCACAGAAUAGAACGACAUCACGCAGGAUUCAGCAAUAGACACGCAUCGGCAGACCCUUCUUCGUCAGCGAUGGCGACACAGCCCCUUUCUUCGUUCGGUUCCCCUCCCCUCCCGCUGGAUUCAAGAACCAACCAUGGCUGCCCUCUUUUCCUUUGGCCCCGACGAGUUCACCGCGCGGGCUCGCGCCUUCAAUUUCGGUUACACAAAAUUACUCUCUGAUUGCGAUUCCUCUUCCUCUAUCAUCGACUAUUGCUUCUUCGCAUCCUCCUUCCGCAGACCCUCUUGGAUCUCAGGCAGCCCCUCAGCCGUGACAUCUGAACCCAGCAAUUCAGUGAUAUUUGAAUGAAAACCAGGCCCCUUCCUUGCCUGAUAUCCACACCAGGGUUGUACCUCUGCAGCAACUCAGCCUCCACGCGUCCUCGCAGCAGCGGAGUCCUCCUUCCGCAAACCCCUCCCUUUCGAUCUCAACCUCCCUCCCCAGUCUUUCCUCUUCGAGCCACUGACUUGUGCCUCUGAUGGAUCUUCUAUGCCCCAAUUUCCGGCAUGUUAUUUGAAAAAUGCUACUCUCUAUUUUUAGUUUUCCAAUUCUGCUUUAUUGAGACCAAAAGAAUAUUUUUGUGUGUUAAGUGAUAAAUGAAGAAUCUUUUGUCAACUUACAUUUGCUUCUAUUUAUCAGAGAAUUGGAGCGUUUGAUCCAAUUUGAGACAUCAAUUGCCAUGUCAUUGUUUACUAGAUUCAUUCUUUGUGAUGGCUGCAUAUAAUACUCAAGAUUGGAGUAGUGACUCUUUUUAUUGUUAAUAGUAAUCCUGGUUUUCUCUUUGAUUUGUUCAAUUUUUAAUUUCAUAAUUAAUUGGAUUCCAUGUCUUUUUUUGAACAGGGAAACAAUCUUAAACUUUCAAAUCUCAAUCACUACAUGUAUAAAUUUGUGAGUGUCACCUUUAGAAUGCAAAGUAACGUGCUUAUGAUGUAGCCAAAAAAUGAGCAUUGCUUCAAAUGUGCUUCCAAUCUCUCUAUUGAGGUGGACUGAUAGUAAUAUCAUUUUUUAUGUAGGAUGACUGCCUGUUUCAAAUUUGUAUAUGGGACCAUCCCAGUUGUUUCAAAGAGUGGUAUUUUUCUAAUUUUCUAUGCGCCACUAUAUUUUUAGUCAGUUUUUCUAAAUAUAAUCUCUAGAUUUGUACACUAUUUGUCACGUAUUUAUGAUUUAAAUCUGAAGGUUACAAGAACAAUUCAAAGAGUUAACACACUUAUAUAUCUAAGAAUAAUCUGUUGACAUUCACUUAAAUGGAUGCAAAUUUGUUGGAAUUCAAAAUACUGAAAAUAGUUAUCACAUUGUAAUGUGUAUAAAUAUGCAUAGACAUACAAUUCAAUUCACUUUCAAUCCACAUUUGCAUCUUUCUCUUUAUUUAUUGUUGCACUACCAUGACUAACAGUGAAUCUGAUGUGUCUGUCCAUGGAUACAUUUGUCCCACCUUUGAAUAUGGCCUCUGUAGAUUAAGGAGCAAGAUAGAGAGGUUAAAGAGACCCAUGGAGAUGGUUGCCAAGAAACCGGAUACGGAAAUUGCACAUAUGGUAGAGAUGCUUCAAUGUCUUGGAUGACCACCAAGCAAGUGUGAAGUGAUUUUCAUCAUAAAACAAUAUAAAAGGAUCCAAUGUCACCACAACAAAUAUCAUCUGAUGAAGAAGAAUAACCAUUGGUGUUUAAAAAGAAAACAAAGGCAACAUUGACAAAGCUGAGGCAAUGUGCAUCAUUUGAUCAGGAAGAAAUCAACGACACAUAUGGCAUUACCUCCUCUGAUGAAGAACAAAUUUUUAUUCAAACCUUAAGGGCAAACACAUCUAGGAGAACCAAAGCUAGCAAUACAAAAUACAAACACUACGAGGAAGCCAACAAGAAUAGCUAGACAGAAAAUAAAAAGAGCAAUUCCAUAUGCGCAGCUUAUAUUUUAUUUUCUGCAAUUUAUAUCAUGUAUUUCACUAUUUUAUUUCUAAAUCAAAAGUAUAUUUUGUGGAAAUAACGCUUUGUAUGUCUUAACA